ACGCUGGCGGCGUGCCUAACACAUGCAAGCCAACUUGACUGAAGGAGCAAUCUGACAGUAGAGUGGCGCAAGGGUGCGUAACGCGUAAGUAACUUGCCCCAAGGUAAGGAAUAACGUCGAGAAAUCGGCGCUAAUACCUCAUAAUGCAGCGGAUCCGCAUGGAUAUGUUGUUAAAGGUUUACCGCCUUGGGAUAGGCUUGCGUCUGAUUAGCUAGUUGGUGUGGUAACGGCACACCAAGGCUACGAUCAGUAACUGGUCUGAGAGGAUGAUCAGCCACACUGGAACUGAGACACGGUCCAGACUCCUACGGGAGGCAGCAGUGAGGAAUAUUGGGCAAUGCUCGAAAGAGUGACCCAGCAACGCCGCGUGGAGGAUGAAGGUAUUCUAUAUCGUAAACUCCUGUGAGAGCAGACGAAAGACAGAUUAUUAAUCUGGAUGACUGUAUGCUCAGAGGAAGCCCCGGCUAACUACGUG
Molecule: ribosomal RNA, 475 nt
Filed under: uncultured bacterium
Lineage: Bacteria
Description: bacterial SSU rRNA
Rfam family: Bacterial small subunit ribosomal RNA
Source: RNAcentral